CAUCUGGUUCCAUUUUAUUAAAAAACAAAACCAAAAGAAAUUUUGCAGUGAAAUUUCCUGGAAUUCACAACCCUCAUUUAAAAAUCCUUAUAGUUGCAAUAUUUUUUUUUUAGCCAGUACGUAAGAACACGAUUGCACUUAUUUACAUGAUAGUCUUCUAUAUAACAAAAAUAACCAUGUUGUAAUGACUGUUUCCAACUAUCACCCUUGUUUCAUCACUAGCCCAUUAUGAGACAAGUUGAUUACGCUCUCCAAGUACAAAGAGAAUAGAAUAAAGCAAAAUAAAAGUCUGUGUCUCCUAAUAGAAGACAAAUUCCUUUAAAGACAGUUACUUUUUUUUUUUUUUCAAUUUCUUUGUAUUUCAAGAGGGAUAUAAAGUGCUCUGAAAGGAGUAGGGUAGGUGCCUGAGGUGGGGAAGAAGGAAAGAAAUUUAUACAGAAAAAAUUUAAAAAACUACACUGCCUUAACUAAUCAUCUCAAUAUGCACACAACUUUGUACAGAAGAUUAGUUUUGGGUAAAAACGCUACAUAAUUCACUAGUACUUAUUUCGGCAAUUAAGAACUGAAGUCCAAAUGAAAGACUCCCCAUGCAAAUGUCAUCAGGAGUGACUUUUUUGUGAUUUUGGGUCAGAUGCUAUAUAAAUCAAGGAAGCUCAGUCACACAGUCUGAAUAUGGAGAGGAUAGACAAUGCCGAGAUGGAACCAUCAUCUACUACCUGCAGACUAGCCAGAAAGACCUUGUGGGGAAGCUAAGUAGACUUUACCCCAACAUCAAUCAUUUUACAACAAAAGCAUUUUGUUGCAAGCAUUUGUUUACAAUAAAAGUAAUUUGUGUUAGGAUGGAAAAAAAGCCAUUGGAAUUUCCUCUUGCUAGUAGGGAGGAAGAUUGAUUUAUGAUGUCAUGUCUGAUUAUUUAUAAUUGUAAAUUCAUUAUUUGCAGAUUUUUUUCUAGUGGGAAAUAAUAUGCUGUACAAAGUGGUUAAAAUAAGUUAUUUCUUUUUCACAUUUUUGCAACUGGCAAUUGCUGGUUAUUGUCUGCAGUCUACAAAACUGAGUAUCACAUAUGUACUGCUUGAGAGUUUCCCCUGGAAACCAGAAUAAUCAUCCUCCCAGCUCAUGAACAUUUUAAAGAACAAUACCCAUUUUUUUUUCCAGAAAAUGGAUGGAAUGUAACUUUUCACAAAUACAAAAUUAUUUCAUUUUCUAAAUGUAAGGGACACCCCUCUAUAAAAAUAACAGUCCCUCCCCACUCCCACCCCUACAUCUCCUUCUAAUUAUAAAAUGGUAGAACCAUCUCAGAUUACUAAUGUGAAAGCAGGAAGUAAAUAUAUUAUGUACAUGUACAAAACACAUCAGUAUUUCACACCAUUUACAUUCAUAUGAAGUCUUUUUAUUGAUCUUCCUUUGCAAUUUCACAAGAAUAAAGUUGAGAUAACUUACAAAAACAAGCAGUCCCUUGCUUAUAACUGCACAAACAUUCUAGCCAGAGGCAUCUUCUUUGCAAACAGAGCAACAUUAUCCUUCAACAUUUUGCAGAAGUAAGGGCUGCUGACAGUGAGAAGAUCUGUGGGGUCUCCUUCAGCUUUUUAGAGUUUGUGACACUCUUUCCUCAUUUGAUAAAUGUAGACCAAAUUCUCAACUACCGAAGAAAUUGUAUGAUGAAAGGCAAGUAACUGGUUGUUGAAUUCAUGACCCAAGUCAAAUUAAUCUGCUGCAAGAAUAAUUGCGAUUACUCCAGCAGAGGGCACUCUGCUCCUUGCAAUAACAUCCUACUGAACAGUAAGUACCAUGGAUGCCAACACAAAUUCAGACCGAAAAGUCCAUGUAUGUGUUAGUUCUUCAACUGCUCUACUAUACCCAUUAGUACAGGCAACAGUUUUGUAUCUUCUUCGAAAGAGCAGGAUAUACUAUAUUUAGCUAGCUCUUAUACAUGAAAAUUCUUUGGCUAUUUAAAAUCUUCACAUUCUCAAAGAGAACAAUGUUCUGAGUUCAGUAAAGCGCUAGAUUUGUUGGAAAGUUUUGAAGGAAAAGGGGACUAAACACUAGACUUUAAAGAUGGUGUGGUACUAAGGCCACAAUUCAUUUUUUAGAUUUCGGGAUUUAGUAAGGUCAAUCAACAGUCUGCAACAGAAAACCCCAUAAGGUUUAAUGGUUUCAUUCAACCAUGCAACCCACCUUCGCUUUUAUUUAUGAGAACAUUGCAGACCUCUUAAUAGACGUGUAUAUUUUUGUCUUAUCAUCAGCAAAUAUUUAUCAGGUGGCCACAGAGCAAAUGGCUCUGUAUUAAGUGCAAACGUCAGUGGUAGCACAGAAUUAGAAGAUCUUUGAUCACUGAAAUUCCUGAAAAAGCCACGUGAUUAUGAAGCACUCAAGGCAGGUGAAGAGAGAUGUGACUGACCUUAGCAGGUUCUUGUAGAACAAGCAGGAUUGCAAUCAAAUUGCUCGAUAUUAAGGGGCCACGUCUAGCAUCUGGACUUGCUUCAUUAGUUCUGGGAUGAUAACUUGGUGUCAAUAAAAGGUGUAGAGUGGAAGAGUGUGGCUAUUGAUCUGUGGGUCUUUAAAAAUUAAUGUUCCUAUUACACAGGGUCUGGGGUUGAGUGAGGACAAAAGGAGGGAAAAGGAAGAGCUAAGGGAUGAUGAGAAACUCAUAUUAGCUUCUUAGAAUUAAUUUAUUUUUCAGGCAAUCCAGACCUUCUUUGCAAUCAUGAGUAUUUUAACUCAUGAGUAUUUAAUUCCUUAAAAAUACAAACUCCCCAAAACCCAGGUCAGCUCUAAACCUAGGGAUGAGCAUUUACUUGGGGACAGCACGCACAUUUUGUUAAGCACAGAAGCUUUCCAGCCCUGCUUUGACCAGCUCCCUGAUCAGAGAUCCUGCCAUCCUCUUUUCUUACUUCCUGCAGGGUGACACUCCCAUCCCAUUUUAACUGCCAACAUCAAACGUAUUCAUCCAUGCAAUGGCAUGGAUGAAGGACCUCGGUGGCCAAGAGCACUGCAUGAAGAACCAUGCAUCCCCAUCUUAAGAGGGUAGUCUCUUCGUGUCUCUUUGUCAGUCUUCAGGAAUUAGUGGCCCUCAGAUCACUUACGAUGAGCAAGCACUUGUGCUAAGUAGUUAGGAAGAAUGGGCAUUCCAUCAGGUACAGUAUACAAGUUUUUCCAAGAAAUCCUAACCCUGGGGGCUCAGGCGAAUGAGGAGGGUCAAAUGCUGAGGGUGGGAGAAAGCAGAUCUAGACAGCAUUCUGGAAUUGUUGCUUUGCCAUUAUUUGCCCAGAAAACAUUUAUGGCAAGGAAGCCUGAAAACAUGGCAAUGGUUGUAAGAUGGGUUGCGAUACAACUGGUGAUGUGAGAAGUGAAAAUGAAACUGACUCCUUUAGGGAGGACAUUGGUUUAUAGUAAACAGGUUUGCCUCAUCAGAAGUGAAUAUGGAUAUUGCUACACAAUAAAAAGAGGAAAAACACCAACAACAGUAACAAUGGUAAUCACAAUAAUGAUAAUGACUCUGUAGGGGAUAUCUAACCCUAGAGAUUAAGUCAAUGUUCAAAAGCUGUAUUCAUAGUCAGGGCUCAGCUCUUCCAAAGGGACUAGCCACAUAGGAGGUAGCAGUUCCUAAAGGUGACCCUAAAUUAUUUUGAGUGAAUGCAAAUGCUCCUUUUCUUCCCCAUAGCAUUGGGGUGGCAGGUGGAUGCUGACUUGGAGUAAAAUGCUGGCUGUUGGAGGUGGUCAUAAUUCACCAAGUAGAGACCGGAUGAUCACAGGCCCCCAAAGAUUCUUUUUCAAGAAGGCCACAUAAAGUCUUGCAUUUCUCAUUCUUUCCUCCCAAGUUCGUGAGUUUUCACUACAGCUGUGGGACUGGGGGACACUGGGAAAGGACUUUCACCAACCAUGAACAAGAAGAAGGGGUUGAGGUAAAGUUGGGUGAUUUCAGUCUGGAGUUCUCUUUGGCUCCUAAGUGCCACAUAUCAGUCCGAGGGUUUGCCAUAGAAGUGAGGGGUAUAAUUUUGUUUCAGCACCAAAUCAGCAUGGUUUGUGUGAGUUUUAAGUAACAACUGGUCAGAGGAGUAACAACAAAUGGUCAUGGACAUCAAUGAUAUGGUUAGAAAGUUCAAGCAGAAAUUUUAAAAAGGGUGCCUGAAUCUUUAUUCACUACAAAAUAAAUGGACCUCUGGGCCUCUCAUUAGGCGACUUGGGUGGUGUCCAGUUCUCCCUGGAGGUAAUUAAGCUUUUAACCUUCUUUUCUUUUGUAAGGGUCGGGGGAUCUUGUGAGAAUACUGGAGGAACUCUAGACCUGCAUUGUCCAAUUGGCAGCCACUAGCCACAUGUGACUAUCCAAAUUGAGAGGUGCUGUGAGUGUAAAAGACACAAUGGAUUUAGAAGACUUAGUACACAAAAGCAUGUAAAACAUGUCAUUAAUUUACAUUAGUGACAUGUUGAAACAAUAUUAGGUUAAAGUACAUGAUUAAAAUUAUCUUUACCUGUUUCUUUUUACACUUUAAAAUGUGGCUAGUAGAAAAUUUAAAAUUAUGUCUGUGACUUGCAUUACGUUUCUGUUGGACAGUGCUAGUCUAGACUCUUGCUAUAGAAAAAUGCACAUCUGCAAAUACACAUACAGUCUGCAUUUGCUUCUAGAGGGUACACACACCCUCUGACACUCAUCUGUAGACUACCAGGUCUCCAGGUCAGUCUCUUCUUUGGGGGAGGUAAAGAAGGCUAUAAGGAAGGGCUGUUCCCCUUUCUUCUGAAAGAGAAACUUUCUGGUUAAGCUUUUUUUUUUUCUUUUUUUUUUUUUUUUUAAACUAUCAAAGCUACAGGAAAAUCCUCCAGAAACAAACUUUGGUAAGUAGUGAAUGGCAAAGGCUCAGGGGGU
Molecule: long non-coding RNA, 4861 nt
Filed under: Homo sapiens (human)
Lineage: Eukaryota; Metazoa; Chordata; Mammalia; Primates; Hominidae
Description: HSALNT0078614
Source: RNAcentral